Molecule: long non-coding RNA, 215 nt
Filed under: Elaeis guineensis (African oil palm)
Lineage: Eukaryota; Viridiplantae; Streptophyta; Magnoliopsida; Arecales; Arecaceae
Description: long non-coding RNA (EGUI_LNC035494)
Source: RNAcentral
GGUGCAUUUUUUGACUAAAAAUGGCAUUGGUGAAAUAUGUGACGACCAGACGGUGGCUCGAUAAUAUUUUAUGAUUUUUGCUAAAAUAAACUAACUGACAGAAGCUGUGUCAGUUGACAUAUCGAAUGCAUUAGAUGAGAUUGAAAGAAUCUGAGGUGAACCAGUAGAAAAGCUUGAAGCCAUUCCUUUAGGAGAUGAUUCAAAAAAAAUGAUCC